RNAcentral lists this ribosomal RNA (389 nucleotides) under uncultured bacterium. RNAcentral describes it as "bacterial SSU rRNA". It matches the Rfam family "Bacterial small subunit ribosomal RNA", at positions 28 to 417 of the family's 1533-position model. The record is from RNAcentral.
GACGAACGCUGGCGGCGUGCUUAACACAUGCAAGUCGAGCGGUAAGGCCCUUUCGGGGGUACACGAGCGGCGAACGGGUGAGUAACACGUGGGUGACCUGCCCUCAGCUCUGGGGAUAAGCCUGGGAAACUGGGUCUAAUACUGGAUAUGACUCCACGGUGCAUGUCGUGGGGUGGAAAGCCUUGUGCGGCUGAGGAUGGGCCCGCGGCCUAUCAGCUUGUUGGUGGGGUGAUGGCCUACCAAGGCGACGACGGGUAGCCGGCCUGAGAGGGCGACCGGCCACACUGGGACUGAGACACGGCCCAGACUCCUACGGGAGGCAGCAGUGGGGAAUCUUGCGCAAUGGGCGAAAGCCUGACGCAGCGACGCCGCGUGAGGGAUGACGGCCU